AGAAGACCCAGCAGCAACAAUAACCACAACAACAAGGAGGUUACUAGGAACAGCAGCAGAAGAAGAUCAUCGUCCAAAUCCUCUGCUCCUCUGCUCGAGUUGGUCUGUUUGUCGAGGGAGGAAUCCAAGUUCUAAUACUAACCAAUCUUGGUCGAAAUCUACAAGGGAUUCUAAAAGUGGGUCUUGAAGAAAAUCGAUGUCAAUGCUAUAGGAUAUCGUUACUGUUUUGUUGAACUUCAGAAGUUGGAGAAACUUCAGGAAGAGGAUCUUGUUGAAAGGCCGUUCAAGAAGAAACAGAUCAGGAUCAGGUUUCCUGAAUGGGGAAGAAGUGGGAGAUUUGCUCCAUU
Rosa chinensis is the source of this 347-nucleotide long non-coding RNA. RefSeq lists it as uncharacterized. The transcript is spliced from 3 exons. The record is from RefSeq and is a predicted model, not a curated record. NCBI's taxonomy places the organism in Eukaryota, Viridiplantae, Streptophyta, Magnoliopsida, Rosales, Rosaceae.